UACCACUGCAAUUGUGAUAAUUUUAAAGAAUGGAGUAACAAUGCUAUCAUUAAACUAUUGGUGGGGUUGUGCUUCGUUUGGUAGGGUUUGUGGAUUCUUCCUAAAUACAUGCUUUCUGCAACGUUCAAAAAUGCUAUCAUAUAUAAGAUCNNNNNNNNNNNNNCCCUGUUCACAAUGAAGAAAAUAUGAUCUGCUUCCACAGUCUUAUAGUACCAGAUUCCUGGUUGCAGGGGUUGACACUCAGAAUCAUUUGUAAUGUUACAGCUUGGUUGUUCGAUUGGGAUACAAGGGUGGGUCGUGGAUAUGGUGUUAAGUGCUCCAUCAUUCUCCUGCCAGUCCUCAUCCCUGUAUCCUUUGUAAGGUGGGGAGAUAUCUGGAGGAAAACUCCAUUGGCUCAUUUGCAACACUCUUAUAAAGAGCAAUGGAUGGAUUCCAAGGAUGCUUGAAGGAACUGUGACACC
Molecule: unclassified non-coding RNA, 461 nt
Filed under: Hevea brasiliensis (rubber tree)
Lineage: Eukaryota; Viridiplantae; Streptophyta; Magnoliopsida; Malpighiales; Euphorbiaceae
Source: RNAcentral